This 301-nucleotide ribosomal RNA is filed under the name uncultured bacterium. Its description in RNAcentral is "partial 16S ribosomal RNA". It matches the Rfam family "Bacterial small subunit ribosomal RNA", at positions 509 to 809 of the family's 1533-position model. The record is from RNAcentral.
CAGUCGCCACGGUAAUACGAGGGGGACAAGCGUUGUUCGGAAUUAUUGGGCGUAAAGGGUGCGUAGGCGGCUUGACAAGUCUUGUGUGAAAUCUAUGGGCUCAACCCAUAGUCUGCACGGGAAACUGUCGGGCUUGAGAAUGGGAGAGGUGAGUGGAAUUUCCGGUGUAGCGGUGAAAUGCGUAGAUAUCGGAAGGAACACCUGUGGCGAAAGCGGCUCACUGGACCAUCUCUGACGCUGAUGCACGAAAGCUAGGGGAGCAAACAGGAUUAGAUACCCGGGUAGUCCCUGUCUCUUAUAA